RNAcentral lists this ribosomal RNA (1325 nucleotides) under metagenome. RNAcentral's name for it is "bacterial LSU rRNA". It matches the Rfam family "Bacterial large subunit ribosomal RNA", at positions 1561 to 2925 of the family's 2925-position model. The record is from RNAcentral.
AGUGGAUGGGGAGCAACCUAGUUGUGAGUGUGGAAAGGUAGUGCCAAGAAAAGCUGUCAGAAUGAUGAGAAUUGAGUCCCGGUACCCGAAACCGACACAGGUAGGCAAGUAGAGAAUACUAAGGGGCGCGAGGUAACUCUCUCCAAGGAACUCGGCAAAAUGACCCCGUAACUUAGGGAGAAGGGGUGCCACCGAGAGGUGGUCGCAGUGAAGAGGCCCAGGCGACUGUUUAGCAAAAACAUAGGUCUCUGCAAACUCGAAAGAGGAAGUAUAGGGGCUGACGCCUGCCCAGUGCCGGAAGGUUAAGGAAGUUGGUCAGGAGAAAUCUGAAGCUGGCGACUGAAGCCCCGGUGAACGGCGGCCGUAACUAUAACGGUCCUAAGGUAGCGAAAUUCCUUGUCGGGUAAGUUCCGACCCGCACGAAAGGCGUAACGAUCUGGGCGCUGUCUCGGAGAGAGGCUCGGCGAAAUAGGAUUGUCUGUGAAGAUACGGACUACCUGCAUUUGGACAGAAAGACCCUAUGAAGCUUUACUGUAGCUUGAAAUUGUGUUCGGGCUUCCUGUGCGCAGGAUAGGUGGGAGGCGAGGAAGGUCUGCUUGUGGGCAGAUUGGAGCCAACCGUGAGAUACCACUCUCAGGAGGCUAGAAUUCUAACUUAAUUAAGGACAGUUUCAGGUGGGCAGUUUGACUGGGGCGGUCGCCUCCAAAAAGGUAACGGAGGCGUACAAAGGUUCCCUCACACUGGUUGGAAAUCAGUGGCAGAGUGCAAAGGCAGAAGGGAGCUUGACUGCGAGACGGACAAGUCGAGCAGGGUGGAAACACGGUCUUAGUGAUCCGACGGUGCUGUGUGGAAGGGCCGUCGUUCAACGGAUAAAAGUUACUCUAGGAUAACAGGCUGAUCUCCCCCAAGAGUUCACAUCGACGGGGAGGUUUGGCACCUCGAUGUCGGCUCAUCGCAACCUGGGGCGGAAGUACGUCCCAAGGGUUGGGCUGUUCGCCCAUUAAAGCUGUACGUGAGCUGGGUUCAGAACGUCGUGAGACAGUUCGGUCCAUAUCCGAUGUAGGCGUGAGAAUAUUGAGAGGAGCCUUCCUUAGUACGAGAGGACCGGGAAGGACGCACCGCUGGUGUACCUGUUAUGAUGCCAAUCGUAAACGCAGGGUAGCCAAGUGCGGAGAGGAUAACCGCUGAAAGCAUCUAAGUGGGAAGCCCACCUCAAGAUGAGUAUUCUGGUGUAAGGUCACGGGGAGACGACCCGUAGAUAGGCACGAGGUGGAAGUGCAGAGAUGUAUGAAGCCGAAGUGUACUAAUAGACCGUCGGCUUGAUC